AGUCAUAUGCUUGUCUCAAAGAUUAAGCCAUGCAUGUCUCAGUACAAGCCAAAUUAAGGUGAAACCGCGAAAGGCUCAUUAAAUCAGUUAUGGUUCCUUAGAUCGUACCCACAUUUACUUGGAUAACUGUGGUAAUUCUAGAGCUAAUACAUGCCAACAGAACUCCGACCGGAGACGGAAGGAGUGCCUUUAUUAGAUCAAAACCAAUCGGUGGCGCGGCCUCGGUCGUGUCAUCGUACAACAUGGUGAAUCUGAAUAACGUUUGCUGAUCGCACGGUCUCGCACCGGCGACGCAUCUUUCAAAUGUCUGCCUUAUCAACUGUCGAUGGUAGGUUCUGCGCCUACCAUGGUUGUAACGGGUAACGGGGAAUCAGGGUUCGAUUCCGGAGAGGGAGCCUGAGAAACGGCUACCACAUCCAAGGAAGGCAGCAGGCGCGCAAAUUACCCACUCCCGGCACGGGGAGGUAGUGACGAAAAAUAACGAUACGGGACUCAUCCGAGGCCCCGUAAUCGGAAUGAGCACACUUUAAAUCCUUUCACGAGGAUCAAUCGGAGGGCAAGUCAGGUGCCAGCAGCCGCGGUAAUUCCUGCUCCGAUAGCGUAUUGCGCAAGUCAUUGGGACAUAAAGCGAAACCUAAAGGCAAAAUGAAAGUGAAUAUACGUGAGCGUGUGCCACUCACCGUAGUGAGCGCGCGC
Molecule: ribosomal RNA, 696 nt
Filed under: Troglocharinus subilsi
Lineage: Eukaryota; Metazoa; Arthropoda; Insecta; Coleoptera; Leiodidae
Description: bacterial SSU rRNA
Rfam family: Eukaryotic small subunit ribosomal RNA (bases 4-604)
Source: RNAcentral